UUCCAAUGACGCUCAUUAAGGCAGGUGUCGUGGAAAGGUCUGAUUAUGUCGUGACGCUCUCUGCCGUGUACAACAGCAUCAAGGAGGUAACGUGGCUUCAAAACCGGUUUCAUCAUGUGGAGACGCCCAAACUAAACCCUGACAGCAGCAGCUGAGACGCUUUCAUCCCCGUUAACCACAACAUGUUGCACCGGAGGAGGAGGGGGCGCUCCCCAAAGAAGCCAAUUGUCUCUGUGCAAAGGCCAGAGGGAGCCUGGCCUGAGUGGGCGAGGAGGAGUCAGCCGGACGGACCUUGAAGAGUUGCUGUCUGUAGAAGAUUCGAUUUUCUCCUGCGUUGUGCACCACGGCCGUGGAGACCUGGACGGAGGACAGACCACACAAAUACUAAAGAGGCAGUCCAGCAUUCACACACAGACAGGAGAGAGACUGAAUCUCUCGAGGGACGACGCUCCAGAUCCAAAAAAACGUCUGGAUGAGACACCGACAAACGGGAGAAAGAGGUUCCCGGAGGGGCCGGUGGUGCAGAGAGCGAGAGAGAGAGAGAGGUUGGCAGCUUGUUGGAAAAGAGAAAAACAACAGAAGACAGCGUUUGUCAGAAGUUUACAGUUUUCAUCAGCAGGACAGUCGAUACUCGGGUUAAAAGGCAUUGAGACAGAGACGAACCUGCGGUUUGUGCGGCUCCAAACACCAAAAUAAUGCGAGUACACCUCCAAAAAGAAAGUUCAGACGACCUAAAUAAAUGAUGUAUGCUCAUAUUUGGGAUUGUCCAAACCACUGAGGUGUUGUUCAGAUAUUCGAGGAUGAAUCCUGUCGACACUGGUGACUUUUUCUCAUCAGGUUCAGUUUUGUUUGGCCGGCCUUUACUUUACUUCACAUCCAGUGCCACCAAAUGGGACAAAGUUUUAUUGUUUAAUACCUGCAAAGACGUUCCCAUCGCGCAGAAUCUGUAGGCAAGGAACCAAGAUUUCGGCACCAGGCUUUGGUUGCAACAGUCCGGGUGAAGUUUUUGUGAUAUUCAGACAAACAAGAGUUGGAAAACUUAAAUAUCUCCCAUUCUGAUAUGAUUGAUUUUGACAUUUCAAGUUUUCAUCAUUUUCAUUUAGAUAUGUGGUUUUAUAGACGAGCUUCACUCUGUGCAUGAGAAAACAGAAAUGUGAAGAUUUUCCAACAAGCUGCAGCAUCUCAGCCUAAAUGUCUUUGUAAAGACUAUUUUCAUUGCACUUCUGCUUUAUUAGGGAAAGUAACAAGCAAUAAA
Molecule: long non-coding RNA, 1255 nt
Organism: Larimichthys crocea (large yellow croaker)
Lineage: Eukaryota; Metazoa; Chordata; Actinopteri; Sciaenidae
Exons: 4
Source: RefSeq, a predicted model, not a curated record